RNAcentral lists this ribosomal RNA (256 nucleotides) under uncultured bacterium. Its description in RNAcentral is "partial 16S ribosomal RNA". It matches the Rfam family "Bacterial small subunit ribosomal RNA", at positions 521 to 776 of the family's 1533-position model. The record is from RNAcentral.
UAAGACAGAGGUGGCGAGCGUUGUUCGGAAUUACUGGGCUUAAAGGGCGCGUAGGCGGUGAUGUAAGUCUGGGGUGGAAUGCUACAGCUUAACUGUGGAACUGCCCUGGAAACUGCAUUGCUUGAGUCGGACAGGGGAAGGCGGAAUUCCUGGUGUAGCGGUGAAAUGCGUAGAUAUCAGGAGGAAGGCCUGUGGUGAAGACGGCCUUCUGGGUCUUGACUGACGCUGAGGCGCGAAAGCGUGGGGAGCAAACAGG